RNAcentral lists this ribosomal RNA (420 nucleotides) under uncultured bacterium. RNAcentral's name for it is "bacterial SSU rRNA". It matches the Rfam family "Bacterial small subunit ribosomal RNA", at positions 355 to 773 of the family's 1533-position model. The record is from RNAcentral.
UGAGGAAUAUUGGACAAUGGGCGCAAGCCUGAUCCAGCCAUGCCGCGUGCAGGAAGAAGCACCUAUGGUGUGUAACUGCUUUUGUACGGGAAGAAACACUCCUUCGUGAAGGAGCUUGACGGUACCGUAAGAAUAAGGAUCGGCCAACUCCGUGCCAGCAGCCGCGGUAAUACGGAGGAUCCAAGUGUUAUCCGGAAUCAUUGGGUUUAAAGGGUCCGUAGGCGGUUUAGUAAGUCAGUGGUGAAAGCCCAUCGCUCAACGAUGGAACGGCCAUUGAUACUGCUAGACUUGAGUUAUUAGGAAGAAAGUAGAAUAUGUAGUGUAGCGGUGAAAUGCUUAGAUAUUACGUAGAAUACCAAUUGCGAAGGCAGGUUACUGCUAAUGGAUUGACGCUGAUGGACGAGAGCGUGGGGAGCGAAC